CUAAGCGGCUGUCCCCUUCCUCCCUCACUGCUCCAUGUGCUUCCCUCCCAAAGCCGCAUGCUCAGUAGAAGAGGAUGGCCAUCCCAUAAAGAAAAAGUGUACCAUUCUUCAGUCAAGUGUAUACAUUGCUGCGCUCCCUUGCUAGAAUCUCCAAACAACCUCAAGAAUCCCUAUGUACAAGUAAGUUGGUAGCUGAAAGUGAAGAUCAAGCCCAAAAUGUCUGCCCCUUUCUCAGACGAAGGGAACAAAGAGGCUGAUUGUCUUCUUUGAAGAAGGAGGAAGUGACCUUAAAAGGGACUUUCCAUGGAAAACAACAGAAACUCAGGCUUCCUGCUAUCUAUUGUUCUCUCCAGAGAAAGCCAGUGCAUCCUUUGGACAUUUAAUUUUUGCCAAUUAUUUUCUUGGAAUGAGGAG
Molecule: long non-coding RNA, 414 nt
Organism: Sceloporus undulatus (fence lizard)
Lineage: Eukaryota; Metazoa; Chordata; Lepidosauria; Squamata; Phrynosomatidae
Exons: 3
Source: RefSeq, a predicted model, not a curated record